UGGCGGCACGCCUAACACAUGCAAGUCGAGCGAGGUAGCAAUACCUAGCGGCAGACGGGUGAGUAACAUGUGGGAAUCUACCUUGUGGUUCAGGACAACAUUGGGAAACCGAUGCUAAUACCGGAUAAGUCCUAACGGAGAAAGUUUUAAUGCCAAAAGAUGAGCCCGCAUUUGAUUAGUUAGUUGGUGAGGUAAUGGCUCACCAAGACAAUGAUCAAUAGCUGAUCUGAGAGGAUGAUCAGCCACACUGGGACUGAGAUACGGCCCAGACUCC
Molecule: ribosomal RNA, 274 nt
Filed under: uncultured bacterium
Lineage: Bacteria
Description: partial 16S ribosomal RNA
Rfam family: Bacterial small subunit ribosomal RNA
Source: RNAcentral